GACGAACGCUGGCGGCGUGCCUAAUACAUGCAAGUCGAACGCUUCUUACUUAUCGAACUUCGGUUCACCAAGUAAGAGGAGUGGCGAACGGGUGAGUAACACGUGGGUAACCUGCCCAUCAGAGGGGGAUAACACUUGGAAACAGGUGCUAAUACCGCAUAAUUCAGUUUACCGCAUGGUAGAGUGAUGAAAGGCGCUUUUGCGUCACUGAUGGAUGGACCCGCGGUGCAUUAGCUAGUUGGUAGGGUAAUGGCCUACCAAGGCAACGAUGCAUAGACGACCUGAGAGGGUGAUCGGCCACACUGGGACUGGGACAAGGCCCAGAGUCCUACGGGGGGCAGCAGUAGGGAAUCGUCGGCAAUGGACGAAAGUCUGACCGAGCAACGCCGGGGGAGUGAAGAAGGUUUUCGGAUCGUAAAACUCUGUUGUUAGAGAAGAACAAGGAUGAGAGUAAAAUGUUCAUCCCUUGACGGUAUCUAACCAGAAAGCCACGGCUAACUACGUGCCAGCCGCCGCCGUAA
Molecule: ribosomal RNA, 521 nt
Filed under: uncultured bacterium
Lineage: Bacteria
Description: partial 16S ribosomal RNA
Rfam family: Bacterial small subunit ribosomal RNA
Source: RNAcentral